This 348-nucleotide ribosomal RNA is filed under the name uncultured bacterium. RNAcentral's name for it is "bacterial SSU rRNA". It matches the Rfam family "Bacterial small subunit ribosomal RNA", at positions 8 to 349 of the family's 1533-position model. The record is from RNAcentral.
AGAGUUUGAUCAUGGCUCAGGAUGAACGCUAGCUACAGGCUUAACACAUGCAAGUCGAGGGGAAACGACAUCGAAAGCUUGCUUUUGAUGGGCGUCGACCGGCGCACGGGUGAGUAACGCGUAUCCAACCUGCCCAUCACUUGGGGAUAACCUUGCGAAAGUAAGACUAAUACCCAGUGACGUCUCUAGAAGACAUCUGAAAGAGAUUAAAGAUUUAUCGGUGAUGGAUGGGGAUGCGUCUGAUUAGCUUGUUGGCGGGGUAACGCCACAAGGCGACGAUCAGUAGGGUUCUGAGAGGAAGGUCCCCCANAUUGGAACUGAGACACGGUCCAAACUCCUACGGGAGCA